CUUAGGAAAUCAAUUCCAGGAGGCACAGAGAGAUGAGGGAGCGAAAGGGACGCGCAAACUUCACGCACAAGGACCUACACUGCACUACAUAAUUGCAGCGCUGCUUCUCUUGGGAGGCUCACGCACCAGCGCCAAGAAGAACCAAAACCUUGUCCCGGAUCCUCGGUUUUUCCUCAGGCCUUAGCGUCGGUACCUGGAGCGAUAUCGAUGGCGCGAUGCGGCGGUGGCGACUCGUUGUCGCGGAGGGUGCACCAGGAGACCGUGGAGAGCCUCUGCCAGGGGCUGCUCGGCCUCGACGACGACAAGUUCGGCGCAAUGUGCAGCGCGUUUGGCUACCUCCAGGAGUGGCCGGACCUGAGCGGUGUGUGCGGCACGAAUCUUGGGGCGCCCAGCGCGGCGGCACAGGAGACCUGCAACGGAAACGACUCCACCUCUUGCAGCGGCAGCGGCAGCGGCGGCGGCGGCGCCGGCGGCUUCAGGAAGAGGAGACUGGAAGCUUACCUCGAUGCAAAGGGUGAUGGCAACGACAUGUGCAAGAGACCGAGAGGGAAGCAGCAGCUGGGUGAUCUUGGUGAGAUCGCAGCGCCAGGGAAAGGGAAGCAGGAGAGGCCAAAGGCAGGCACGAAGAAGAAGGCAGAGGUGGCGUCGUCGACAGCGGCGGCUGGCGAUCAGAAGACCGACUACAUCCACGUCAGGGCGCGCCGCGGCCAGGCCACGGAUAGCCACAGCCUCGCCGAGCGGGUGAGGAGGGAGAGGAUCAGCGAGAGGAUGAGGUACCUGCAGGAGCUGGUGCCCGGGUGCAGCAAGGUCACCGGCAAGGCCGGCAUGCUCGACGAGAUAAUCAACUAUGUCCAGUCCCUGCAGAAGCAAGUCGAGUUCCUGUCCAUGAAGAUCGCCGCAUCCAACCCGGUGGUGAGCUUCGACAUCGUUGAGGACCUCUUCGGCAGGCAGCUGAAGCAGGCGUGCAACACUGCAGCUCUGCCUGCGAUGGCUCUGCCGGCUGGGCAGCUGGAGCCGUCCUGCCAUCAGAUGAGCCCCAUGCAGCAGGUGCACCCGUCUGCAAGCUCCCCGGGCUUUGGGUUGGAGAUGGUCGUCAACAGCCCAUACCCGCCGGCAACGGGCGGGCCGGCGUUGGCGGCGCCCGGCGUGUCGAUUGAAUCUUGCCUCAACGUGAAUGGAGCUGCUGCCUGGGACAUUGGCUCCCAGAAUUUGUUCCGUGGAUUUGAUGCACAAUUUCAGUCAGUAGAAAGUGAGUAACUGCUUAUUGAAAGGCCAAGCCUGCAGUUACUCUGCCUCAUGUGAAAUGAAAGAACACGGUAGUGAUUAGAUCAGGGUAAAAUAAAAACACUCCCUGAACAAGCUUACAGUUCAGAAUUCAGGGUGAUUGUUUGCUAGACAACCUCAAAAUGGAAAUGUAAGAAGAAUUAAUCCUCAUUCCUGGAGUUUUAACCACGGCAACGUUUGUGGCUGAAGAUUCUUUAUUCAUAGGAACUGUACUAAUGAAGUAUUUUGUCGGCAAAGGCAAUACAAGUACAUUUCCUGUGUUCUA
RNA transcript from Phragmites australis (common reed), 1549 nucleotides. It is a transcript of the gene named basic helix-loop-helix protein 79-like, with no coding region annotated. The transcript has 6 exons. NCBI's taxonomy places the organism in Eukaryota, Viridiplantae, Streptophyta, Magnoliopsida, Poales, Poaceae. The record is from RefSeq and is a predicted model, not a curated record.